This 1235-nucleotide unclassified non-coding RNA is filed under the name Hevea brasiliensis (rubber tree). Lineage: Eukaryota; Viridiplantae; Streptophyta; Magnoliopsida; Malpighiales; Euphorbiaceae. The record is from RNAcentral.
CUCAUUUACAAAUUGUGUAUGAUCUGUUGCUUAGAUUCAUCACUUCUACGUGCUUAGAUGCCAAAGUUGCUAAGAAGUAUAUAGAUCAUUCAUUUAUAUUGAGAUUGCUCGACUUGUUCGAUUCUGAGGAUCNAAAGGGAUUGUCUGAAGACUAUAUUGCACAAGGUUUAUGGAAAAUUUAUGGUGCAUAGGCCGUUUAUUCGAAAGUCUAUAAGCAAUAUAUUCUAUAGAUUUGUGUUUGAGACAGAGAAGCAUAAUGGGAUUGCAGAGUUGUUGGAGAUUUUUGGGAGUAUAAUUAGUGGAUUUGCCUUGCCUUUGAAAGAGGAGCAUAAGAUUUUCUUGUGGAGGGUUUUGAUACCUCUGCAUAAGCCAAAGUCUUUAGGGAUAUACUUUCAGCAGCUGUCUUAUUGUGUCACACAGUUUAUGGAGAAGGAGCCCAAGUUGGCUAGUAUAGUGAUUAAAGGGAUAUUGAAAUACUGGCCAAUAACUAAUAGCCAGAAGGAGUUAAUGUUUCUGGGUGAGUUGGAAGAGAUUUUGGAAGCUAUUAACAUGGUGGAAUUCCAAAAGGUCAUGGUUCCAUUGUUCUGGCGAAUUGGAUGCUGCAUUAGCAGUUUCCACUUUCAGGUGGCUGAAAGAGCCCUUUUCUUGUGGAACAAUGACCAAAUUGUCAACUUGAUUGCACAUAACCGGCAUGCGAUACUGCCUAUUAUAUUUCCAGCAUUAGAGAAGAAUGCUCAUAGCCACUGGAAUCAAGCAGUGCUUAACUUAACUCUGAAUGUCAGAAAAUUGUUCUCAGAGAUGGAUGAGGCGCUGUUCCUCUCCUGCCUUGCUCAGUUUAAGGACAGUGAAGAAAAACUAAGCUUGCUGGCUGAGAAGCGGAAGGUUGCAUGGCAACAACUGGAGAAUGCAGCCAGUCUCAAGCCCAUAACAGGGAAUACUGCAGUUUUGGUAACUCCUUUCGCAACGUCAAUAAUCUGUUAAGUGACAUUGCUAACCCGAUGUUGUGUCGAGUUCUUGUUGUUAUUUUCUCAUAUGAAGGUGGUGGCACUAGCAAGGCAAAAGUGAGAAAAAGGCGGGAAAAUUGUAUGAUAGGAAAAUUGCUGCUGUUUGGGAUUGUCGCCUUGUUCUGAUUGAUACUGUGUGGAUAUUAAUUGCUUCCCUUGUAACGUUAUGGGAAGGGCCAUGCGGUGGAUUAUACAUUUCUGUUCAGCUAAUUCUCUAAUUAUCUUUCGCUU